CUAUCCACUUUUCAGAGGAGUGACCAUGAUCAUGAAGGUGAUUCUCCCAGAACCAGAUAAGCCAAUUACACUUCGGGUGGGCUGACACCUGUGACAUCCCCAAAUGUGGAAUACUCAACUGUAAAAUCUGUAAUGGUGGGGGAUUAGCAGCUAAAACUCCCC
This is a non-coding RNA of Chiloscyllium plagiosum (whitespotted bambooshark), 162 nucleotides long. The record is from RefSeq and is a predicted model, not a curated record. Lineage: Eukaryota; Metazoa; Chordata; Chondrichthyes; Orectolobiformes; Hemiscylliidae.